AGCGAACGCUGGCGGCAGGCCUAACACAUGCAAGUCGAACGAACCUUUCGGGGUUAGUGGCGGACGGGUGAGUAACACGUGGGAACGUGCCUUUAGGUUCGGAAUAACUCAGGGAAACUUGUGCUAAUACCGAAUGUGCCCUUCGGGGGAAAGAUUAAUCGCCUUUAGAGCGGCCCGCGUCUGAUUAGCUAGUUGGUUGAGGUAAUGGCUCACCAAGGCGACGAUCAGUAGCUGGUCUGAGAGGAUGAUCAGCCACAUUGGGACUGAGACACGGCCCAAACUCCUACGGGAGGCAGCAGUGGGGAGUCUUGCGCAAUGAGCGAAAGCCUGACGCAGCCAUGCCGCGUGAAUGAUGAAGGUCUUAGGAUUGUAAAAUUCUUUCACCGGAGACGAUAAUGACGGUACCCGGAGAAGAAGCCCCGGCUAACUUCGUG
This 434-nucleotide ribosomal RNA is filed under the name uncultured bacterium. RNAcentral's name for it is "partial 16S ribosomal RNA". It matches the Rfam family "Bacterial small subunit ribosomal RNA", at positions 29 to 507 of the family's 1533-position model. The record is from RNAcentral.